Molecule: long non-coding RNA, 903 nt
Filed under: Gallus gallus (chicken)
Lineage: Eukaryota; Metazoa; Chordata; Aves; Galliformes; Phasianidae
Description: lncRNA (ENSGALG00010006967.1)
Source: RNAcentral
GUGGGUGAUAUGCUGCGAGGGUCUGACAACCAAAGGAGCAGCUGCUGUACAAGCAAUGCGGCGAGAGAGAGGAGCGAUCAUGGAGGAGUGUUUGCCAUACGGGAGCUAUUUCAAUAGCUGUGCUUUCCUGAAACAAGCUGAAGACGUGUUGGACCGGGCUUGGAGCACUGCAGCAUAUUCCAUGGAGAGAGAACCUUACUUUUCUGCUGGUGUGGUGUUGAGAAGGGAAUUCCUCUUGAUGUGAAUGGAGAGCAGUUUUUGAACAUAUACUUUGGCACAAAAUAUACUGACUUUCUGCAGGGAUGUGCUGAACCAUGCAGCAGGAAAAGAGGAAUCCAAGCUGAGCAAAGCUGAGAGAAAAUAAAAUCAACUACAGAAGGUAAAAUGUCAGCCACCUUCCCCUUUGAAUUCUGCAAGACAUAACAGCUGAAGAGGUAAGAGCAGAUAACCAGAAAACAUGCAUCAGAGAAGCCUUUUUUGAGAACCAUUGGGUCUGCCAAGUGGUCUGGGCAGAAAAGCAGUAGCCUCGAAAGACACAUCUUUUAAAGAAGCUGAAUGAUUUUGGGACAUUGGUCUUCACUGCAGACAAAGGUAGAGAGAGAGAUGCCAUCCCACGAUGCUACUCUCUAGCAGUUAAAACUGAGGAACUGUUGGGCUUGAGGUAACCAGACACCCGCAUGCCACCUGAACGCCACUGGCUUCCCUACAGAAAGGUUUGCUGCCUUUUCAGAACAGUCUCUCAUGGGAUUCUUCAUUAGUUCCUGAAUCCCAAGCAGAGGCUUAUUGCCUGGUCUGCGUGAUAGUUUCUGGAUGUUUUCCAAUGGGUUUGUAAGUAAAACUAUGCUUAAAAUAGUGGAUCUCUUUGUUUGGAAGGAAAAAUGAAGCCCUUUUUUUUUUUUUUUU